This 253-nucleotide ribosomal RNA is filed under the name uncultured bacterium. RNAcentral's name for it is "partial 16S ribosomal RNA". It matches the Rfam family "Bacterial small subunit ribosomal RNA", at positions 524 to 776 of the family's 1533-position model. The record is from RNAcentral.
UACGGGGGGGGCAAGCGUUGUUCGGAAUUACUGGGCGUAAAGGGCUCGUAGGCGGCCAACUAAGUCGGACGUGAAAUCCCCAGGCUCAACCUGGGAACUGCGUCUGAUACUGGAUGGCUUGAAUUCGGGAGAGGGAUGCAGAAUUCCAGGUGUAGCGGUGAAAUGCGUAGAUAUCUGGAGGAAUACCGGUGGCGAAGGCGGCAUCCUGGACCGGCAUUGACGCUGAGGAGCGAAAGCCAGGGGAGCAAACGGG